GUGCCAGCCGCCGCGGUAAUACGUAGGGCGCGAGCGUUGUCCGGAAUUAUUGGGCGUAAAGAGCUCGUAGGCGGUUUGUCGCGUCUGUCGUGAAAUCCUCUGGCUUAACUGGGGGCGUGCGGUGGGUACGGGCAGACUAGAGUGCGGUAGGGGAGACUGGAAUUCCUGGUGUAGCGGUAAAAUGCGCAGAUAUCAGGAGGAACACCGGUGGCGAAGGCGGGUCUCUGGGCCGUUACUGACGCUGAGGAGCGAAAGCAUGGGGAGCGAACAGGAUUAGAUACCCCCGUAGUCC
Molecule: ribosomal RNA, 292 nt
Filed under: uncultured prokaryote
Description: partial 16S ribosomal RNA
Rfam family: Bacterial small subunit ribosomal RNA
Source: RNAcentral